GCGCCGGCGGUUUCUUCCCCCUGUGUCCUCUGCCCUAGCCACCUCACGCCGCCACCAUAGCCGACAGUCGGCCGCCACUGAGCCCUGCCGAAGCCGCUGCCCUCACUGGACUUGAGCAGCGCUGUCGCCUCUUCCUAGCAUCGCCGUCGCCUCUGCCUAGCAUCGCCGUCGCCGUGCCCUAGGUGCCGAGCGCCACUGACCACCGUAGCACCGCCGCACCUUUUACUCUAGCGCCAGCCUUCUGCCCGUGAUGCUGACCCCCUCUACCGCCGGUGACGAGCCACCUCUCCGACUUCCCUGUGCGCCGGCUGAAGUUUCCCUUCCUUGUGUCUCUGAUCUAGAGUGAUUGCGGCCUUGUUUCUGCCCUAUGCGACGCCGCCUCUGUACACUAUGCCUAGGUCGCCGGAAAUCAAGAGCUUAAGAAGGUGACAGGGGGUAGUUGUAACCCGGCCAGUGGGACUGAAGGUGAGGGCUUAGGGUUUGUUUUUGUUUUCAAUUCUGUGCUUUGAUUCUUAUCCUGCCGUGAGCAGCACUUGGGUGUGGGAUGGCUAAUUUAGUGUAUAGGGUUUGGUGGACAGCGGCUUCACCAACUUCUGAUUCUCGCUGUCAUCAUCGAAGAAGAGCAACUUGAUCAGGGCAGUAGGUUGUUACGUCUGGCCAGUAGGUUUGAUUUGGGGCUGUUGGAACUUGUCGUGGCAAUCUUGCUUUGGUUGAGGGCAUCAAGGAAGAGCCACUCACCUUGUUCCAGCAGCAAACACAUUCCUUGAUUAUGGAUUAAUCACGGCCGUGAAUUGAGGACUUUGACGCGAGACGAGUAUCUCGGAGUCUGAUUGGACCUUUCUACUUUCGGAGG
This is a long non-coding RNA of Zingiber officinale, 853 nucleotides long. RefSeq lists it as uncharacterized. The transcript is spliced from 4 exons. Lineage: Eukaryota; Viridiplantae; Streptophyta; Magnoliopsida; Zingiberales; Zingiberaceae. The record is from RefSeq and is a predicted model, not a curated record.